Molecule: long non-coding RNA, 5369 nt
Organism: Populus euphratica (Euphrates poplar)
Lineage: Eukaryota; Viridiplantae; Streptophyta; Magnoliopsida; Malpighiales; Salicaceae
Exons: 6
Source: RefSeq, a predicted model, not a curated record
AUAUAUACACUCUCUCUGUCGCUGAAGUGAAGUCUCCAUGUAAGGGCAGACUCACAAGCAGAGUUCAUGCUGCUCGAUUCUUCUUCCCUUUCUCCACCGCGAGUCGAUAAAGCUUGUUGCUAUCCAGGUUGAACUUGUAUUCCACCUCCGAAUGGCUGGUGGCGCCACCUAGCUACGAAGAACAGUGGGUGCUUAUGAGUUGUAUCUUUUAUAAGUAAAUAUUUGAUUGUACUUUUUUCAUGGAUUAUCAGGGGACCACUAUAUUUAAUUUGUUGAGAUGAUUCUUGAGUUGUAAAUUAUCCCGAAAAAUUUCCUAUAAUUAGGAAAUGCACCCAGCUCUACAUGGAUUUUGGUGUUGCUGAGGAAGUAGAAUGGAAGCACCUGACAGGUUACACAUAUCUUGUGCUUUGCCAUGUGGCAUUGGCUUUAUGUACCAUACAACUUCCACCUAAUAUGAAUGAUGGGACCCACCUGUCAGCGUGUCAAGCAGGAGCGAGAUGGGGCCUACUCAGUGGAGUGAAGAACAUUUGGAAAUGCCAUUACCUACUGAAAAUGCUUCUAGUUUCUUUGAAUUUUGAAACUGGAUAACUUACACCACUGUUUCAUUGCCUCAGAGCAGGGGAUUGUGAAUGCUCAGUUCUGUCAUAUUCAAACUUUGAAAACAGAGGAGGAACCUGAUCAUGUUGUGCGAUUGAUCAAUACGUACUGCAUUGAUGUGGAGUCAAUCUUAUUUGAACUUGGAAGUUACAUUGAUCUUCCUGACGUUGAUUUUUCUAAGUUGGCUGCCCUAGCCCAGCAAUUAGAGGAGAGAAGCUCCCUGUAAGAUGAUAUUUGAUAUUCUGUGUAAGGGUAGUUAUUGGAUAACAAGAGUAAUAAUCAUGUCAGAUAAAUAGAGAAAAUAGGAAACAAUUUCUGGAAUGAAGUGUAUGUUUGACAUUGGUUGGCUACACGUGGUGCACUUGUAGAUAGGUUGCUUUUAGUGAAAAGGAGUUUAGAUAUACUGAAAGAAGGAAAUAUUAAGAGUAAAAAAGCAGCUGUUUGAACAUGGUUUAAAAGGCUGAGCUAAUGGUUUCUUGCCUUUGAUCGAGACCUGGGUACUGGGACUUUCCUUGGUGAUGCAAAAGCACACAACAUGUGUGCAUUUAUUAAUCUGAUUAGGAAAGACAUAUUUAUGUUUUCUCCUCAUUUCAAUCGUGCACUUUCUAUUUUUAAUCUUUGGGGUAGCGGGUGCUGAUGGUUGAUUGUUUACUUUUAGUGGUGAACGAGGAAAGAAAAUUUCAUGUGCUUAUCUCUCUCUCUCUCUCUCAUGUGCGGUUCCUCCCUUUGCUAUGGUAGAUAACUUGUUCAGCAUGAUUCAUCAAACGAUUGUAUAUUUUUGCUUCUCAAGCGGUCACUGGACCUUCAAGUGCUCUUAGCAUGCUUUAUAUUGUCUUUCUUCUAUGGCAAGGCCACAAUACUUUUUGUUUCUUCAUGAAAUAUUUUCUUAACACUACAUUCUUUCCCGUUCCUUUCAAGUAAAGAGCAUAAAUAAUAACUUGGUUCAGAAGUAGCUCCUACAUGUGAUGAUUUAUUUGUACUUGUUUGCUAUCAGUCUCUUACUUUUAUUAAGCUGGCAUUAGGUGUUCUUACCUUUAUGUUUUUUUAUUUGUCUUCAUGGAUGUAUAUGGCAUGCACGUAAUGAUGAAUAUCAUAUAUGCAAAUUAUAGUCAUUGACUAUUCUAUUCAGCAUUUUUAUAUUUCCUAUGUAUGCUAUGAGAUGUCCAAAUAUGUAUAUGUAGUUGUAUUAAGCAACACUCCAAUUAAAAAGAAAAGCCAAUUUGAUUCUUUUUCUUUAGUUAAAACAACAUAAUGAUCUAAAUGGUUUAAGCACCAUCUCUAAGAAUAAUGGUUAGCUGAAACAAUAGGCUAGCACUUUUAGGCCUAUGUGAUAAUUUAUUUUUGCAUGGAACUUUAAAUUUAUCAUGAAUGGUGUCAUGUGGAAAUGAGCUAGAGUGAACCUUCUUAUAUGUUGGUUCCUGGAUUAAAAAAAAUAAAAUUAAACGACAAUAAUGAUAGUUCAUUAAAGUUCAGAAGUAGCAAGUAUCUAGUAGUUUCCUUUUUUUCAUCAUGCAUUAUGCUCUAGAGUUCCACUGUCAUAUACAUUUAUCACGACUCAUUCUUCCUUUUAGUUAAAAGGCGGCAAUAACCCUAAGAUUUACAAGUGGGAUGAUGUUUGGAUAAAUGCACUGCUGUCUUAUGCAUGUUCAUAUGAUUUGUCUGUGUUAACAUCCACAAACUAAAAUGUUGGAAUCUAGCAAUGUGAGAUAAUCAUUGGUUAAAAAAUAACGAGAGCUAUUAGUCACUUAUAUUCAGCACAAAAGAUAGUAAAUGGUAAAAAAUUAUUGCUAGUUUAUAAUUUUUCUUCUCAAGGAAAAUAAACUGUGCAGAUGGUUUUACCAAUAUACCUACAGUUUCUUUGUUGUCCCACUAGUCUAGCUGAAAGUUAAUUUCCCAUCUAUCAUAAAAAGAAUUAAAAAGGUGGAUAUAAUGUUCUUGGUUUUACAGCAUGGGUGCAGAGCAUAUGAGGCUUGCAUGUGCUGAUCUCAUUCAAGCCUGUCGUCAGAUGGAUAAAAGAAACUUGUCCCUUUCCCUCAAUUGGAUAAAGAAUGAAUUUGCUCAUAUUCGGACCAAGUUGGAAGUCGUCGUUCAGGUAAUGCAAUUUUAAUUCUUGUCUUGUGGACUCUUAAGUUCUUGUUUACUUGAAAGUAACAUAUCUGUGUAUUGUUGUUUGGGAUUUCAUGGUAUGUUUCCUUGACCUCUUGUGGAGUUUUUAUAGUAAGUAUGUCAUUUUUUGAAUGAGUCGAUAGUAUUGCUAUGUGAGUAGUGUUAAUUUAUUGGAUGCAUAAUGGCAGAUGAAAAAUGCAACUCAGCCUAAAGGAGAAUAUGGGUAAAAAAGAAUUCUAUAUAUUUAAGCAUAUUUCCAAUUAUUCACAAGGAAAAGAAAAAAAUGCCUAAAUGCAAAACCGAUUUCUCUUUUCAGUAUUUAACAUGAAUUUAAGGUACCCUGGCUGAAACUGUAAAACAGGGCUAGCAAUUUUUAGCAAAUUGUUUUACUGUAAAAAUCUUCAAUGAUUGAAAUCAAAAGGGACAGUAAUAAUUGAAUGUAGAUCAUAAUAUUACAUAAAAAUAACAAUCCAAUACUAUAACUACUAAAAUAAUACACCACUUUUUGUUGACGAUGAACUUGAAUAUUUAUUUACUGAUUUGAAAUUCAUCUUUCUGCAAGCACAACCUUGGUUGGUUGUCUAUAUUGUAGAUCCUAGAAUUCCUGAAUGUGGUGCAUGCCAUAAGCCGGUUCACUUUGGUUCUACGAAUCACUAAAAAGCUCAUGAGUACUGCAUAAUCGUACAUCAUUAUCAUUCAAACUCCCUUUCCAAAUAUCUCACAUGCUUAAGUAUCUGCUAGAUCCACGAUAAUAUUUGAUUGUGUGCUUCACUUAUGUUUUAAUUGAUCAAUUGUCUUUUUUCAUUAAGAUUUCAAAAACUCUUAUUUCCUUAAAUCGUGUAUGUUUUAGACUUCUUGCUGCUUAAGUUGGCAGCACUUUUGAUAAAUGCUUGAUUUGUUUGCUACCACAGGUUGGAAACAUGUUUGAGUCUUUAAUAGGUUUUGCUUUUGGGCUUUGGUAGAAGUUCAACAUGGAAAAAAGAGAUACAUUUGUAAUGCCACUCAAUUGCAUAAAACUUCUUGCUAAAGGAGGAUAACAGGCAACAAAGGACUGCAUCAUAAUCAAAUCAAUCUCAAAAUCCCGAGUCUCAGUUUUGAGUGGCUGUGUGCAGCACUUUUAAUUGAGGAAGAAUAGUUUCCUAUAAUGGUUUUCAAGGCACGUGGGAUAAGAUUGCUGGCUUGUUGCAUUUUAGGUAUCGAAUUGCAUGUGGCAAAAUGUGCGUCAUUUCUUGGCAGCAUUUUACUUAAAACAUAAAAAACUAACAUAUAACACCAACAUUAACAGGACUUUGGUUUAUCGUUCAGUUGUUUUUGAGAGAGUGAGAGAAAUGCAUAAUUAUACCAAGCACUCCCCAAGUUCUUGGCACAUGCAGAUUUUUUCAAGUUUUUGGUUCUCCACAAUAAUUUCUGCUUCACAGUAUUGUCCCUUUUGUAAUAAAGUAUGGUGCACAAAUGUUUUGUUGCCUGCAUUUAACAAACACUUCUGCUUGUUGCUUUUUCUGGGCCUCAAUGGUUUGUAGAUGGAGCGGAAGAUUAUGCGACUUGAGAGCAAACAUAAAAAGUAGAUUUCUGUCUUGUCAAGUUCACCUCGAUGUGUCUGUGAGAAAACUUCUCGAUAACCUAUCCAUGCAGGAGUGAUGCUUGUGGAUUUAAGAUCAGGUUGUUCUUAUAGCUGUUGUUGCUUUGUACUUAGUUGUAUAUUAGUGGAUGGCAUGCUGUAUUAGGAAGGAUUCUCAUCUUUAUUUUGCACUAAUAAAUAAUAUACUCAUUUCGUUGAGAAAGUUGUCCGUUAACAUAAAAGAAUUUGUUUCCAUAUAUUAUGCUUUUUUUGGGUCUAACAAGGGGGUGAGGUUCGACUAGGUUGAACCUGACCUGAUGUUUCCAUAUAUUAUUCUGCUAAACAAGAUCGGACAACAUUAUUUAUCUUACUCUAUUAUGGAUUGAUGUGGAUAACACUGAAAUGAAUGACCAUAGAGUGCUAAAAUAAGUUUGCCUCAUAGUUGCCCAGUUGCUGCUGUAAAAUGACUCUACUUCUCUCAGUAGCUUGGGAAGAACACUCGAGAAUAUUGAAAGCAAUAUUCCACCCCUGGGUAUUGAAGAGAUCGGCCAGGUUUUGGUUUUCUUGGGAGAAUCUUGUGAUGAUUCCAUCAGAACAAAGAAACAUAACAUCUUUCGGCUGGUUAAUGAGACAAUUCAUGACAGAGACACAAUCACUAAAAGAGCUUAUCGAAGAAGAUACUCGGGGUCUUCAAACUCCAAUACAUGAGCUUUGCCCGAGGUUAGGACCUAUUAACUCACGCGCAGGUUGGUAGGUGUUCGGAUUUAUUCUGUCAAACCUACGGGGAAAGGGAAAGAUGCAUGUGGAUGAACUCCUGCCAUCUUGUCUUUCUGUUCCACGUCCUUCCUCAGGACUGCGCUGAAUAAGUCUCUCACAGAAAAUUCAAAUGAUUCUUGAUCUGCAAAAUGCGAAUAAUCAUGCUGAAUUUCCUCAUGCCACAGGCUUCUGUCUGACGCAGGAACUUGAUGCUUCUCUCUAUUUAGGCCCGGAAAUGGACUUUGAUUGGCUUUCAUGAGCAUCUCGUAGAGUAGGAUCUCCAUCAGCACGAAAACUCGGUUCUUAUCUAAUAAAUUCGUUUGGCGUAGCGGAUGCCAUGACAAACUCUAAU